AGAGUUUGAUCCUGGCUCAGGAUGAACGCUAGCGGCAGGCCUAAUACAUGCAAGUCGAACGGUGAUAGCAAUAUCAUAGUGGCGCACGGGUGCGUAACACGUAUGCAACCUACCUAUUAUUGGGGGAUAGCCUUUGGAAACGGAGAUUAAUACCGCAUAAUACGAUUAACUGGCAUCGGUUGAUUGUUAAAGCAUUUGCGAUAAUAGAUGGGCAUGCGUCCAAUUAGUUAGUUGGUGUGGUAAUGGCUCACCAAGACGAUGAUUGGUAGGGGAUCUGAGAGGAUAAUCCCCCACACUGGCACUGAGAUACGGGCCAGACUCCUACGGGAGGCAGCAGUAGGGAAUAUUGGGCAAUGGGCGGAAGCCUGACCAGCCAUGCCGCGUGCAGGAAGACGGCGUUAUGCGUUGUAAACUGCUUUUUUAUAGGAAGAAGGAUCCCUUGCGAGGGAAGGUGACGGUACUAUAAGAAUAAGCACCGGCUAACUCCGUGCCAGCAGCCGCGGUAAUACGGAGGGUGCAAGCGUUGUCCGGAUUUAUUGGGUUUAAAGGGUGCGUAGGCGGUUUAUUAAGUCAGUGGUGAAAGACGGUCGCUCAACGAUUGCAGUGCCAUUGAUACUGGUAGACUUGAGUGAGAUUGAGGUAGCUGGAAUGGAUAGUGUAGCGGUGAAAUGCAU
RNAcentral lists this ribosomal RNA (674 nucleotides) under uncultured bacterium. Its description in RNAcentral is "bacterial SSU rRNA". It matches the Rfam family "Bacterial small subunit ribosomal RNA", at positions 8 to 691 of the family's 1533-position model. The record is from RNAcentral.